GAUGAACGCUGGCGGCGUGCCUAAUACAUGCAAGUCGAGCGAACAGACGAGGAGCUUGCUCCUCUGACGUUAGCGGCGGACGGGUGAGUAACACGUGGAUAACCUACCUAUAAGACUGGGAUAACUUCGGGAAACCGGAGCUAAUACCGGAUAAUAUAUUGAACCGCAUGGUUCAAUAGUGAAAGACGGUUUUGCUGUCACUUAUAGAUGGAUCCGCGCCGGAUUAGCUAGUUGGUAAGGUAACGGCUUACCAAGGCAACGAUGCGUAGCCGACCUGAGAGGGUGAUCGGCCACACUGGAACUGAGACACGGUCCAGACUCCUACGGGAGGCAGCAGUAGGGAAUCUUCCGCAAUGGGCGAAAGCCUGACGGAGCAACGCCGCGUGAGUGAUGAAGGUCUUCGGAUCGUAAAACUCUGUUAUUAGGGAAGAACAAAUGUGUAAGUAACUCUGCACGUCUUGACGGUACCUAAUCAGAAAGCCACGGCUAACUACGUG
This 497-nucleotide ribosomal RNA is filed under the name uncultured bacterium. Its description in RNAcentral is "partial 16S ribosomal RNA". It matches the Rfam family "Bacterial small subunit ribosomal RNA", at positions 28 to 507 of the family's 1533-position model. The record is from RNAcentral.